This 96-nucleotide small RNA is filed under the name Pluralibacter gergoviae. RNAcentral's name for it is "Salmonella enterica Typhi npcRNA 44". It matches the Rfam family "Salmonella enterica Typhi npcRNA 44". The record is from RNAcentral. Lineage: Bacteria; Pseudomonadati; Pseudomonadota; Gammaproteobacteria; Enterobacterales; Enterobacteriaceae.
CUUUAAAAAUCUGGAUCAAGCUGAAAAUUGAAACGACACACGUUAAGUGUGUUCGAGUCUCUCAAAUGCUUGCAGCACGAAGUGAAACAUCUUCGG